UGACAGCGGAGGGCCCACGACCUUCUUCUAGCAGCUUCCACGACAUGAAGGAAGGGGGGUGAGGAGAAAAAGGGAAGUGGCGGCCGGCGACGAGGCGAAGGAGCGUGGAGCGGAGCAAUGGCGACCGCCUCAGUCUCUUUCAAGUCACGAGAGGAUCACAGGAAGCAACUUGAAUUGGAGGAAGCACGGAAAGCCGGUCUUGCUCCUGCAGAGGUGGAUGAAGAUGGAAAGGAGAUUAAUCCUCACAUCCCACAGUAUAUGUCCUCUGCCCCAUGGUAUCUUAAUUCAGAGAAGCCUAGUUUGAAACAUCAACGGAAAUGGAAAUCGGAUCCAAACUACACCAAGGCAUGGUACGAUAGGGGUGCAAAAAUAUUCCACGCCAAUAAAUACAGAAAAGGUGCUUGCGAAAACUGCGGGGCCAUGACUCAUGAUAAGAAAUCAUGCAUGGAACGGCCUCGAACUGUGGGAGCAAAGUGGACUAAUAUGCAAAUAGCUCCUGAUGAAAAGGUGGAGUCAUUUGAACUAGAUUAUGAUGGCAAACGUGACCGGUGGAAUGGUUACGAUCCAUCAACCUACACCCGUGUUAUUGCGGAGUAUGAAGCCAGAGAAGAGGCACGAAAAAAAUACCUAAAAGAACAGCAGCUCAAAAAACUUGAAGAAAAGAAUGGUAACCAGGAUGACAUUGAUGUGGGCAGUGAUGAGGAUACAGAGGAUGGCCUGAAGAUAGAUGAGGCUAAAGUUGAUGAGAGCAAUCAAAUGGACUUUGCUAAGGUGGAGAAGCGUGUGCGUACAACAGGUGGUGGAAGCACCGGAACUGUGAGGAACUUGCGUAUCAGAGAAGACACAGCCAAAUACCUUCUAAACCUCGAUGUAAAUUCUGCAUAUUAUGAUCCAAAGACUCGUUCAAUGCGUGAAGAUCCUUUGCCAGAUAUGGACCCCAAUGAAAAAUUCUAUGUGGGAGACAACCAAAAUAGGCUUAGUGGACAAGCUCUGGAGUUUAAGCAACUCAAUCUUCAUGCUUGGGAAGCUUUUGAAAAGGGUCAGGACAUCCACAUGCAGGCAGCACCAUCCCAGGCUGAAUUACUGUACAAGAGUUUCAAGAUUAAGAAAGAGAAACUGAAGUCUGAAACCAAGGAGAAAAUUAUGGAAAAGUAUGGGAAUGCUGCUUCUGAAGAACCACUACCCCGGGAGCUUCUUCUUGGACAAAGCGAGAGAGAGAUUGAAUAUGAUCGGACUGGACGUAUAAUUAAAGGGAAGGAUACAUCUGUUCCUAAGAGCAAGUAUGAAGAAGAUGUCUACAUCAAUAACCACACGAGUGUCUGGGGUUCAUGGUGGAAGGAUCAUCAGUGGGGCUAUAAAUGCUGCAAGCAGACUAUUAAGAAUAGUUACUGCACAGGUUUGGCUGGAAUUGAGGCUGCUGAAGCUUCAGCAGAUUUGAUGAAAGCAAACAUGGCCCGCAAGGAGGCUGCAGAAGAGGAGCCUGUACAACAUGAAGAGAAACGGCUUGCCACUUGGGGAACUGAUGUCCCUGAUGAUCUUGUUCUUGACAAAAAGAAGCUUGCUGAGUCUUUAAAGAAGGAGGAUGAAAGGAGGCGAGAGGAAAGGGAUGAAAGGAAGAGAAAAUAUAAUGUCAAGUGGAACGACGAGGUCACUGCGGAGGACAUGGAAGCCUACCGUAUGAAGAAAAUCCACCAUGACGAUCCAAUGAAAGAUUUUCUGCAUUGAACAACACGUUUGUGGAUGUUAUAACUAAUAAGCGCGUUGCUGUUGCCUAUCAUGAUUGUGCAUUGCAAUAUCUGCAUGUCAGCUCUGAUUGUCCAGUUUCUGUCACUAGAAAUUAGAGACGUGAUGGGACAGCAAGACUAGCGCUUGGAUAUUUGUUGGGGGUACGCAGCCUACCUGGACCUGCAACGUCAUUGUAAUUUUUUUUUUUGCGUCAACAUUUGCCUUCUCACUUAAAUUGGAUGAAAUUAUGAUUCAUGAGCAUAUAAGUUAAUGACAUCAUAAAGCUUGUUGAGAAAAACCCCAAGCUAGCAAUGUCAGGAGGUUAUACGACAGGGCAUUUCAAAAAGGUAUAGCAUAUGUAGAUAUAAAACAACGCGCACAAGAUGUGCCUGCUCAUUUGGCUGCACCAGCGGCAUGACACAGAUUGUGCAACCAAGUUUCCUGCACGUAGAAGUCUAAUUUGGAACCUCUGCUAUUGUGUUUAUCAGCUCUCGCUGCUUAAGAAAAAACUGAGAAGCUCGGCGUCGCGUAUCUUGAGACAGGCCGUGGCCGCCAUCACUGAGAAAAUAAUCAUGUGUGCCUCUGUAUCCCAAACCAAUGAAAUCUCGAUGUAUACUUGGUAAUGUUGAACAUACAAAUACAUGCUGGGAGGAAAGGACCUGGAGCCCUUGAUUGUGCCCUUCCUUUCAGCUGAUGGCGUGUAUUAACCCAGAUUGUUGUCUAGACAAUAGUGAUAAUAUGGCAAGAA
This is an RNA transcript of Panicum hallii, 2473 nucleotides long. It is a transcript of the gene named pre-mRNA-splicing factor SLU7-like, with no coding region annotated. The transcript has 11 exons. The record is from RefSeq and is a predicted model, not a curated record. Lineage: Eukaryota; Viridiplantae; Streptophyta; Magnoliopsida; Poales; Poaceae.